This 5093-nucleotide long non-coding RNA is filed under the name Gossypium barbadense (sea-island cotton). RNAcentral's name for it is "long non-coding RNA (GBAR_LNC022333)". The record is from RNAcentral. Lineage: Eukaryota; Viridiplantae; Streptophyta; Magnoliopsida; Malvales; Malvaceae.
CUCUUUGAAUUUGGGAAAACUGUAACUACAUUCUUCCAGUUUGUAAUUUCUUCUUAUCUAUUUUGCAUCUAUUACUCUUUCGGUCUGAAAUGUUAGAUCCCUGAUAUCCUGCGAAAUUAAUUAUUUUUGCAAGUUGCCUCUACCAUUUUGACAUUUGGAGUUGAAGCUAAGAACCGCUCGGUGCCAUCCAUUAAUUGGAGCAUAAUUAGAGAUGACAAUAGGACAGAUUUGGAACAAAGUCAUUUUGGAGUUUUUCGAGUUUGGUGUGUGGGCUAGGAUUUGGGGCCAGCUCGGUAUUUUCUUCGUAAUUUUCAAACUUUUAUAAAAGAUGUAAGCAUUCUAACAUGUUCUUGUUAGAGUUCAAUUGAGCUCAGGUUUAAAUCAUUUUUUUUUAUCAAAUUUCAGUUCAUGGGUUGAGACUUGAGAUGUGGCCAUGGUCAAUACCAAAAAAUUAAGUCUGAACUCAACUCCCGAUGAUUUUUUUAGUUCAUAUAUUAUAAAAUAUUAUAUUUAUAUCAAUUCAGUAUAAUAGUUUAUAAUGAAGUUCAAAUAAAAAUAUAUUAUUGAAUGUUAAUUUAAGUCAAAAAAAGAAAAAUUAUCUUUGUCCAAGCUGGCCAAGUAAUUCGCUCAAACCAGUACACGAAAUUAAUCAAGCCCUAAAAGAACAGUACUUAAAAGAAGCAAACAACACAUAAAGACGGGUAGUUUCCUCCGUUCCUCCUUUAGUUCACCAAAGGUGCAAUACCAAAAACAAACAAAAAAAAAAGUCUGAACCGAUGAUUUUUUUUGUUCAUAUAUUAUAAAAUAUUAAAUAUUAUAUCUUACCAAUUCAAUAUAAUACUUCAUAAUAAAGUUCAAAUAAAAAAUUUAUUAUUGAAUUUAAAUUCAAGUCACAAAAGGAAAAUUAUCUUUGUCCAAGCUGGCCAAGUAAUUCGCUCAAACCAGUACACAUAAUUAAUCAAACCCUAAUAAAAGUACUUCAAAGAAGCAAACAACGCAUAAAGACAGGUAGUUUCCUCCGUUCCUCCUUUAGUCCACCAAAGGUGCAAAAUUUAGAUUUCAUCUCUAUCUCUUGAAUUAAUAUCCGACUACAUGUUUGCAGAGAUACAAGCAAAUACACAAAUAACAAGUAUCUCUCUUUCAGGCAUUAACUCCCUACUUUUUAACAUAAUCCCUACCCCCGUAAAUUAAAAAAAAAAAAAACCCCCCACGCCCGGUGCUGUCACCAUUAACAAGCAUAAAGUCUCGUAAAAAGUCACUUCCUUCAUAUUCACAAAACAGAGAUUAACCCUACCUUGCAAAUGAAAAUGGUUGUUUUAUGACAAUUGUUUCAUUUCAUCCUUCCCAUAUAUACGCUGAAGUUCAAGAGUGGCAGCUAAAAACGAAUCUGAAAAAAGAAAGAGGUGCAAAGUAGACAUGUCAAUUGUAUCCCAUCUCAAAAACUCCAUCCGAUCAACCUAAACCAAAACCAAACCCAAACCCGAUUUGACCAUAAAAAGUCAACAACAUGAACCCAUCCAACCACACCCAAAAAUGACUCAAACCCAAUCUGAAAUUGACUUAACAAAAAUGACCCUGACAUUUUAAAUUUUGAAUUGAUCCAAUCCAGAAAGAUUCGAUCCAAAAUCAACCCGACUUGCCGAAUAGACCUGACCUUUUUAGUUUACUCAAUAAAGUGCACUAGUAAAAGAAGCAUUUCCUUCUGAUUAAAUUUGUCAGUCAAGAUAGGUAGAAUUAAAAGGAAAAGCAAAUCAAGUUCAAUAGCUUACAUCACCUUUCCAAAUCCGGAAGCACUUCUGGUUAAUAGGCGAGCCGGUUAUUGUCUGAAUAACAUCGAACAACAUAUUCUGAGGUGUGCUUCUAAGCUCUUGGACAAUCCCAUAAAUGGUCUUCCCAUUCUCAAAGUAUAUGUGAUUAUUUGGAUGCUUUGUUUUGCAACCAGCAUGCCGCUCAAAUUCAUAUGCAUUGAUCACCUAUGAGAACGUAGAAACUCUGCUCAUCAGCACACACAUAAGUGCGUACACAAUUCUCUCAAAAAAGAAAAAAAAGGUAAAACCGAGAAACCACACCUUAGAAAAAUUGCAUGUCUGACAGCCACAUUGAUAUCCCGAACUCUUUAUAACACCGUGGAGCUCCUUCUGAAGUUCAUAUAAAGAAGCAGGCGUAUCACCGGACAAUAAGGUAAAUAAAAAGAACACAAGUAAUGAGAUUUUACCUCCUGUGACCAUGCAAUAUAUUUAACGGGAACUCCAUCAAGCAUACCAGUUGACAGCAAACUUCUAACAUUUGAUGGGAAGUUAUUUGAAGUAAGUUUUUUGGAUGUUUUCUGCUCAUCUUUCUUCCUAGGAACUUCAGCUCCAGAGGCAAUAAUAUUAUUGGAUAUAGACACUUUUUCACUAGAAGCAUUGGAUCUUUGGACAGAAGACUGACCCAUCAAUAAAUUAUAGCCUGAUACAAUCCUUCCUGGCGGAUUUGUAUCAUCAUCAUCAUUAGAGCCACCAAAUGAUAUAAUAGUACUCUCACCCCUACUAUAGGACUGACCAAUUGACAAAUUAUAGUUGUCACCCUUCUUGUAGCUUUGACUGAUAGAUAUGGUACUGUCAUCUCCUUUACCAUAGGUCUGACACACAGUUACAGAACUAUCAUCUGUCAUGUAUGUUUGACCCAUGGAUAUGAAAGUGUUUUCACCCUUAUUGAAGGUAUUGCUCAUUGCAAGUGCAUUAUUAUCCUCACUUUUGUUAUAGGAUUGUCCCAUAGACAUGAAAACAUUAUUCUCCCUUUCAUAGGUGUCACCAAUAGGAUCCCCUUUGUUAUAAGAAGAACCCAUCGGCAUAAUACCAUCUUCCACCUUGUUGUAUGCAUGAUCAUUUGACACAGAGGUAUUAUCAACCCCAUUAAACACAUAUCCCAUUGAUGCAGACAUGAUAUUCUCCGAAUCCUUAACCUCGCUGACUUUUACCUUCCUAAUCCCACCAAGGUUUAACCCAGAUCUAGGAUCUUCUAGUGUAUGAGACAUAGAUAAACAGAAUGAAGAAUCAUUUGUAAAUAUAUCUUCAUUAAGCUUUCUCCCCAUGACAACUUUCUCACUGCUAACUGAUGGCAUGCUUCGAUCAUCAAAAUUCACAGCUCGAGCUGAUUCGGUGUCGAAUAACCGUUCAGCAAACUGCCCCGAGAUUGAAUGAAAACCAGAUGCAUUUCCCCAUGGAGACAGGUUUGAAUUCAAGAUUCCAGAAAAAAAGUUGGUAGUUGAAACUCCAACCGCCUGCUUCUUGUUAGGAAAUAUAUCUGUCUCGGAACCAUCCAUAAACCAUUGAUGAGAACGCUUGGGCUCAAUUCUAGAUGAAGUAUCAUACACCAUCUCACCAUCGUUUAAACACCCAGCUCCUUUCGUCAUCCAAAUGCCUUGAUUCUGGAAAGACUGUUACAUGUAACAAAUUCCUAAUCAGAGGCGUAGAAGAGAAUAACAACAACAGUUGAAUCUUUUUCAUUGACCUAGUAUCAAGAUUAACCGCAAGCCAUAAAUAUUUAUAACAUAAUUAAUGGACAACUUCAAUAAGGUGAACUUUGUUUUUGCACCUAUCAAAAGCUUGACUAGGCACACCAAGCAUGCACUUGAAGAAGGAUUGAAAUAACUUUUGUUCUCUAGUGCUAAUAUACAGCGCCUAAGGACGCACCUUGGUCUUUGACAACCUCAGCACUUCAGCACCAACACACACAACUUACCAAGUAGAAAAUUGUCAAACUGACAUUUUUCUUCACUCAUAUAUACAUACUUAUAUAUGGUUCAUCAGUGCAUCCCCACCUAAAUUACUCUAUUACAACUGUUUGGCAAUAAAAGACACAAUCAUCUAUAGUUCUUUUUUUUUUUUUACCAAAAAGCAUAAUUUUUCAGUUGAUACAGAAUUUUAACCUUCUUUAACUAUGUGAAACUACAUAAGGGACAAGGCAAUAAGCAAUUGCAGAACAAUUAACGAUAAAAAUUAAAACCACUGAAUCAAUCACAAAAGAUACACAUAAAACUGAAAAACAGCAUCGAAAGCAACCAUUAGACCCUUCUCCCACCACUUAAAGCACAUAAAAACAUACCAUUUUUCUAGCUUUAUUUCAAAGUUCUAUUUGGAUGAAUCCUCGCUUCCACUUUGCUGUAACAGUCCAACAAUUAAAACUCUAUCAUAUUGCAUUAAACAAGGAUCAAAUUUACAACUUUACCACUAAACAGCAAAGUUCUAUAACUCCUGGCUGAAGCAGAGACUGUAAAACUUCGUGAGAAUUGAAGCCUUUAAUCGCUAAAGUAAUUAUCUGCAAAAUUCAGGGAAUAAAUCACUUGAAAAACUCUGAGAACAAAUAAUAGUGACUCCAAGGCUGAGGUAUUGUAUCUUUCACUCGAAAUUAUGCAAAUCCAUUCCCUUAAACAUAUUUUAAAACAUAUAUAUUGUUGUAAUUGCUGUUAUCCUUUGUCUUCCUCUUUGCAGCCAAACACAAUCAAAAUUAACCAACAAGAUCAGGCAGCAGGGGAUGCAGCAAAUGCUCCAAAAUCAGGUUGCUGCGGUUGAGCUACGAUCGAUGAUGAGCUCUGAAGGGUAUAUUUUCUUCUCUAGUGAGCUCUUUGAAUUUGGGAAAACUGUAACUACAUUCUUCCAGUUUGUAAUUUCUUCUUAUCUAUUUUGCAUCUAUUACUCUUUCGGUCUGAAAUGUUAGAUCCCUGAUAUCCUGCGAAAUUAAUUAUUUUUGCAAGUUGCCUCUACCAUUUUGACAUUUGGAGUUGAAGCUAAGAACCGCUCGGUGCCAUCCAUUAAUUGGAGCAUAAUUAGAGAUGACAAUAGGACAGAUUUGGAACAAAGUCAUUUUGGAGUUUUUCGAGUUUGGUGUGUGGGCUAGGAUUUGGGGCCAGCUCGGUAUUUUCUUCGUAAUUUUCAAACUUUUAUAAAAGAUGUAAGCAUUCUAACAUGUUCUUGUUAGAGUUCAAUUGAGCUCAGGUUUAAAUCAUUUUUUUUUAUCAAAUUUCAGUUCAUGGGUUGAGACUUGAGAUGUGGCCAUGGUCAAUACCAAAAAAUUAAGUCUGAACUCAACUCCCGAUGAUUUUUUUAGUUCAU